Molecule: long non-coding RNA, 1368 nt
Organism: Octopus sinensis (East Asian common octopus)
Lineage: Eukaryota; Metazoa; Mollusca; Cephalopoda; Octopoda; Octopodidae
Exons: 3
Source: RefSeq, a predicted model, not a curated record
ACUGUGCCAAACAAUAACAAAAAUAUUUUCGUGUCGUUGUGUUGUGGUGUUCAUGCCUUUCCUCAUAGCAUUAAUAAUGAAUAUAUAUAAGAACUUGUAACUUCUCUGUACUCGGCUGACUUUUGAAAAAGAUCAAUUAUUGAUAGAUUCGGAAAUGUAAUUCUGCAUUUUGCUGCUAUUUUCAGCAAAUCGACGACUUUGUGUAAUGAAUGAACUGACGCCUGGCAAGAGAUGAAGGAAGCUGUUCAAAAGGUUGUUAGGAUGGAAAAACCACAAAGGUCUCAGCCGCAAGGAAACCUUUAGUUAUAGGCUCUGGAAGUCAUUGACAAAAUGAAAAAGUUUAACGUAGAAAAAGUUUUCUUAACUUUUCUCUUGUGAUGAAUAAUAAUGUAGAAGCAAUCCUGAAGUUGAACGUCGUGAAACAGCAUAGGAAUUGAAUGGCUGUUGAAACGAAAGCUGUAGAUCUUUUAGCUCGGGGUACCAAGUUGUAAAGGAUAACUGGUGCUAAGAGACACCCGAAGCAGCCACAAUGAAAGAAGGACUCACAACAGGAACAGAGGAAUCCUUUCUAUAGACGGCCAGUGAGGUAGUAUCAUCAAUAUACGAAUAAGUUCAACACGUGGGAUCUCGUAAAUUGAUCUUUUUGAACAGUUACCUUCAUGUUUUUCAAAAUCAUUGGACUGUGGCCAUGCUGGGGCACCACACUGCAUGGUAUAGUUGGAUGGACUGACCCCAGUACUAUUUUGCUUUCAACCUGGGACCUAUUAUAUCAGUCUCUUAUAUCUAACCACGAAGUUAUGAGGAUGAAAAUAAAACCAACAUCAGUUGUACAGCAGUGGCGGGAAACACACACACACACACACACACAUGUAUACAUUUAUGUAUGCCCGAAAGAAGGACCUAUGGCCAGUGAUUUUCCUAACGUCAACCCGGCACGGUUAACGUUCCUCUUGAGCUGGCGGCUGCGAGAAAAACAUUAGCAAGGACGAACUUCCGGUGAGAAUAACGUUCUGGGAUGGAAAAAAAUUGCCCAUUGUGUUUUGUACGACCCCCACUGAGGAGAAAGGUCUCUCCUGAACAAAUUUAUAUGCUUCGAAAAGAAAAAAAAAACUCCACUUCCGAGCACUUGUGUUCAUACGAGUAAUUCAUCGUUGGUCAGAUUCAAUGGCGAAAAUAGCGAUUUCAAGGCGGCCUAAGUAAUAUAGUACCGGACCAGUUAUCCAGCAAGCUUGCAACCGGAAGUGGCUCGAAUUUCUGGACUAUCCGGUUUUCUGGAAACAGUUUUAAAUAUAUACUUAAAAUAUGAAUAAACUAUGAAAAGUAAAGUGCAAAAUUGUAUUUAAUAGAUUCAAAUUAAUACACUUCUAA